RNAcentral lists this ribosomal RNA (274 nucleotides) under uncultured bacterium. RNAcentral's name for it is "partial 16S ribosomal RNA". It matches the Rfam family "Bacterial small subunit ribosomal RNA", at positions 523 to 796 of the family's 1533-position model. The record is from RNAcentral.
CUACGGAGGGUCCAAGCGUUAUCGGGAAUCAUUGGGUUUAAAGGGUCCGCAGGCGGUCAAUUAAGUCAGAGGUGAAAGCCCAUCGCUCAACGAUGGAACUGCCUUUGAUACUGGUUGACUUGAGUUAUACGGAAGUAGAUAGAAUAAGUAGUGUAGCGGUGAAAUGCAUAGAUAUUACUUAGAAUACCGAUUGCGAAGGCAGUCUACUACGUAUAUACUGACGCUGAGGGACGAAAGCGUGGGGAGCGAACAGGAUUAGAAACCCUAGUAGUCC